Molecule: long non-coding RNA, 2248 nt
Organism: Homo sapiens (human)
Lineage: Eukaryota; Metazoa; Chordata; Mammalia; Primates; Hominidae
Source: Ensembl
GGCAGUUGCAGACAGGCUGUGCCCCAGAGCCUCGAGACCUCCCUGGGCACUAACUCAUGUAUUCAUCCCUAUUGGAGUCUCAGUUUCAGACAGGGUGGAGCAUGAAAGUCCCUUUCUUCAUCUCCUUAGGUUAAAGGGAACCAAACAUCUGCAUAGAUACUCAGCGUCCCCUGAAGUCUAAAGUAAAAGGCAGCAGGGAGGCAGAGCCAGCAGUUCCAUUUUCCUUAGGCUCCACUGCCUGAGUUCCAUGAGGCCUGCCUUUUUUUCUUCUGGGCCCUAAAGAGGAGGCUUUGGCCACUGCUACAUGGACCGCAGCCUUGUUUCCCGCCUCUGGGCGCUGGCUCCCAUUGGUCCCUCGCUCUUGAUCUCUCAAGGCCCCCAGCUGAGUUCCACCUUUUCCCUGCAGGCUUCCAAGCACGCUCCAGCCCUUGGUGAUUCUCCUUCCUUGAACCUGAGCACUUAGCAUCAGCACCACUGAUGGGGCAAUUCAUCAUGUCCUGCCUGUGACAUCUCUCUUUUGUCUUCGACUGUUAGUUAAUUUUUCAUAUGUUCGUAUCUUGGCACCCCAGCCUUCUCCCUGGAGAUGGGGAGGUGCUGAGAUUCUUCUGCAUGCUCGGGCUCAUCGCCCAGGGUGGCCUCUUGUACUGCAGAGCAGCUCGGUAAAUAUUUAUUGGCUUGUUAAUUUAAAAUUUCCUCCAAAGGAUAGGCAGGGGUGGGAAAGAUGUUGCUCAUACGAGCCACUGACAUAUCUGAGUGAUGCCAGUGAAGGCGUGAAGGUGGCCAGAGAGGUGGCUGGAACUGGGGGUUAUCUUGGGUCCUGGUCCUUUACACUUUCCUUGGUAUCACCGGCAUAGGUCAUAGUGACCUCAGCCUUGCUAGCAGGGCAGGCAGCAGGGGGUUCUUACCUGCAUCCUCUGGAGUUCGCCAUAGGUGAAGAUGGGGACGAAGGCUUCCGUCUGGGAGGCCAGCAUGGCAGCUACAUGCACCACCAGCAGAGCAGCCACAGCCUUACGGGAUACCAUCUUGGAGCUGGACAAUGACAAGGAGCUCUUGUCACUAAGUUUGGGGUACAGUGGCAGACUGCUGUGUCCGAGGCAGGGGCCCUCAGUUCUGGCCCAUGCCCUACCUCUAGCUGUGUGAUCUUCAGCCAAAGCUCAGCCUGUCUGGAUUUGGGCCUGGUAUCAGAGCUUGAGCAGAUGAGCUCUGAGCACCUUUCUGCCCCAGAGCUGUGGCAGCUGGCCAAGCUCCUGGGAAAGGCCAUCCAGCUCCCUGCCACACACCAGGGAGGAAUCAUUUCACUUGUCCACCCUUCUCUUUUGUUACAGGUAAGGUCUUCUGGGGUCAGCUGGACUCAUAAGGCAGGAGGGACCUCAUCUUUCAGAGAAGGAAUGCCUAGAUUAUCAACAGAACUGUGCCCCAAGACCCAGAGAGACCUCCCUGCCCCAGUGCCUAUUAGAAUGACAAAAGGGGUGGACCCAAGCCCAGAUGACCAGGGCUCUGCCUGGAAGUGCCAGGCCAGGACCCUGGGUCUGUAGAGCCUCUGCCAUUGCAAAGGAUGAGCCAGAUGGAAAAAUUCAGCAUGGAGCUGUAUCCCUGAGCCAAGAGGGCACCCCCUUCCCCGUUGGGGGAGCGAUGGCUUGGGAACAAGCCCCCCGCCCCGUGCUCCAGUGCAUCUAGCUGCCUUUGGCCACCAUCCUGAAACAGCAGGGAGCAGGCUUCCUCUUUCCUCACACCCUGGAACCCAGUGAUUGCUGACCAGGAAGCAGAACCUUCCAAGGCUGCAGGCUUGCAUCCUGCCUCUCAGCCAAGACCUGUCUCCUCAGUCAUCUGAAACCACCCUACCACGCCAGACGCUCCCUCUGCCUUCUUGCUAUUCCAGCUCUCUCUUCUUCCCACUUCCUAUUUUCUCUCCAUUUUGUUCAAACUCCAUGAACAAGAACAACAGAGCUCAGACAGCGAAAGCCUCCCCAUCCCAGCUGUAUGCAAAUUCCCAGCAGGCUGAAAGGACCACCCGCCCACCCAAGACCACCUCCCAGGAAGCCGAGGCCUUGUGUGCAGCCCCAGAGGAGCUUGAGCUGAACGGAGAAUGGGUUGAGGUGGGUGGGACCCAUCACUGUUCUUCCCUUCUCAUUCCUGCGCGUUCCCUGAAGAGUCUCUGGGGCCUGCUUUUCCCCCCAGCAGAGACGGAUGUGUCACAUUUAUGGCAUCCCAUUUCCUUCACAGAGAGGCUAUAGAUCCUGUUUCAUUC